RNAcentral lists this transfer RNA (69 nucleotides) under Saurida eso. Its description in RNAcentral is "tRNA-Tyr". It matches the Rfam family "tRNA". From Rfam's summary of the family: Transfer RNA (tRNA) molecules are approximately 80 nucleotides in length. Their secondary structure includes four short double-helical elements and three loops (D, anti-codon, and T loops). Lineage: Eukaryota; Metazoa; Chordata; Actinopteri; Aulopiformes; Synodontidae. The record is from RNAcentral.
GGUGCGGUGGCUGAGUUUAAGCGGUGGGUUGUAGCCCCAUAAACAGAGGUUCAAGUCCUCUUCGUACCA